Molecule: ribosomal RNA, 831 nt
Filed under: Plectosphaerellaceae sp. DBCMVA
Lineage: Eukaryota; Fungi; Ascomycota; Sordariomycetes; Glomerellales; Plectosphaerellaceae
Description: eukaryotic LSU rRNA
Rfam family: Eukaryotic large subunit ribosomal RNA
Source: RNAcentral
AGCAUAUCAAUAAGCGGAGGAAAAGAAACCAACAGGGAUUGCCCCAGUAACGGCGAGUGAAGCGGCAACAGCUCAAAUUUGAAAUCUGGCUCCUUCGGGGUCCGAGUUGUAAUUUGCAGAGGAUGCCUCGGGUACGGGUUCCUUCCGAGUUCCCUGGAACGGGACGCCAUAGAGGGUGAGAGCCCCGUCUGGUCGGAUACCCAGCCCGUGUGAGGCUCCCUCGACGAGUCGAGUAGUUUGGGAAUGCUGCUCUAAUGGGAGGUAUACUCCUUCCAAAGCUAAAUACCGGCUAGAGACCGAUAGCGCACAAGUAGAGUGAUCGAAAGAUGAAAAGCACUUUGAAAAGAGAGUCAAAUAGCACGUGAAAUUGUUGAAAGGGAAGCGCUCGCUACCAGACUUGGGCCCGGCGGUUCAACCAGCGCCACGCGCUGGGGCACUCCGUCGGCCCAGGCCAGCAUCAGCUUUCCGUCGGGGGCAAAGGCGUUGGGAAUGUGGCUCUCCUUCGGGGGAGUGUUAUAGCCCGGCGCGUCAUACCCUUCGGGGGGCUGAGGUACGCGCUCCGCAAGGAUGCUGGCGUAAUGGUAGCUAACGACCCGUCUUGAAACACGGACCAAGGAGUCAACCUUAUGUGCAAGUGCCCGGGCGUAAAACCCCAGCGCGGAAUGAAAGUGAACGUAGGUGAGAGCUUCGGCGCAUCACCGACCGAUCCUGAUGUCCUCGGACGGAUUUGAGUGAGAGCAUAUAGGGUUGGACCCGAAAGAAGAUGAACUAUGCGUGUGUAGGGUGAAGCCAGAGGAAACUCUGGUGGAGGCUCGCAGCGGUUCUGACGUG